GAGGGGCGGCAGGGCUCUGAGCCUGGCGGGUUCCGGCUAUUCCCUUCGCGGUCCAGUUUAGUCCAGUGCGAGGGCACCUGCAGCGCCGGGAUCUGAGUGCGAAACUCCGAGCGGAAGCUGGUCUGGCAGGUCCUCUGGAGCUUGGGGCCAGGCGGGGGCGACUUGGGGGAGCCAUCCUUGGGCUCCCAGACGGACCUCCAGGACCACUGGCUGCCCAUGAGAGACGAAGGAUGGCAUCCAAGGGGGCCGGCGUGUCUUUCUCCCGCAAGAGCUGUAGGCUGACCUCAGAUGCUGAGAAAUCCAGGGUCACAGGCAUUGUGCAGGAGAAGCUGCUGAAUGACUACCUGAACCGCAUCUUUCCUCUUCUGACCAUGCACCCCCAGCAGCCACCGGCAGUUACUCGGGAGGCUGAGGCAGGAGAAUCGCUUGAACCGGAGAGGCGGACGUUGCAGUGAGCCGAGGUCAAACCAGCGCACUCCAGCCUGGGCAACAGAGCGAGACUCCAUCUGAAAAAGAAACAAAAACAAAAAAAAUUUUUAGUGACAGAGCUGGG
Molecule: non-coding RNA, 553 nt
Organism: Homo sapiens (human)
Lineage: Eukaryota; Metazoa; Chordata; Mammalia; Primates; Hominidae
Source: RefSeq, a predicted model, not a curated record